RNAcentral lists this unclassified non-coding RNA (330 nucleotides) under soil metagenome. RNAcentral describes it as "partial contains 5.8S ribosomal RNA, internal transcribed spacer 2, and large subunit ribosomal RNA". The stretch from base 1 to 120 matches the Rfam family "5.8S ribosomal RNA", at positions 35 to 154 of the family's 154-position model. The record is from RNAcentral.
GAUGAAGAACGUAGCGAAAUGCGAUAAGUAAUGUGAAUUGCAGAAUUCAGUGGAUCAUCGAAUCUUUGAACGCACAUUGCGCCCUCUGGUAUUCCGGGGGGCAUGCCUGUUCGAGCGUCAUUACAACCCUCAAGCUUUGCUUGGUAUUGGACAUUGCCAGUUUCUGGCAGGUCUUAAAAUCAGUGGCGGUGCCAUUUGGCUUCAAGCGUAGUAAUUCUUCUCGCUUUGGAGAUCCAAGUGGUUACUUGCCAAUAACCCCCAAUUUUUUCAGGUUGACCUCGGAUCAGGUAGGGAUACCCGCUGAACUUAAGCAUAUCAAUAAGCGGAGGA